Molecule: ribosomal RNA, 786 nt
Filed under: uncultured Actinomyces sp.
Lineage: Bacteria; Bacillati; Actinomycetota; Actinomycetes; Actinomycetales; Actinomycetaceae
Description: bacterial SSU rRNA
Rfam family: Bacterial small subunit ribosomal RNA
Source: RNAcentral
UUAGAGUUUGAUCCUGGCUCAGGACGAACGCUGGCGGCGCGCCUAAUGCAUGCAAGUCGAGCGAGGCCCUCGGGUGAGCAAUCACCUGAGGUGACCGAGCGGCGAACGGGUGAGUAUCACGUGAGCAACCUGCCCCGAAGACCGGGAUAGCCCGGGGAAACCCGGAUUAAUACCGGAUACCCUCUGCGGACCGCAUGAUCUGCGGAGGAAAGGUUCUGGCGCUUCGGGAUGGGCUCGCGACCUAUCAGCUCGUUGGUGGGGUAACGGCCCACCAAGGCGACGACGGGUAGCUGGUCUGAGAGGACGAGCAGCCACACUGGGACUGAGACACGGCCCAGACUCCUACGGGAGGCAGCAGCAGGGAAUCUUGCACAAUGGGCGAAAGCCUGAUGCAGCGACGCCGCGUGGGGGAUGAAGACCUUCGGGUCGUAAACCCCUUUCAGGAGGGACGAAGCGAAAGUGACGGUACCUCCACAAGAAGCCCCGGCCAACUACGUGCCAGCAGCCGCGGUAAUACGUAGGGGGCGAGCGUUGUCCGGAAUCAUUGGCGUAAAGGGCUCGUAGGCGGCUCAGCAAGUCGGCCGUGAAAACCCAGGGCUCAACCCUGGGAUGCCGGUCGAAACUGCUGUGGCUAGGGUCCGGUAGAGGAGCGUGGAAUUCCCGGUGUAGCGGUGAAAUGCGCAGAUAUCGGGAGGAACACCAGUAGCGAAGGCGGCGCUCUGGGCCGGCACCGACGCUGAGGAGCGAAAGCUAGGGGAGCAAACAGGAUUAGAUACCCUGGUAGUC